CCCUCCUGCAAAGGCCUGUCUGUGGUUCCCGGUCUUCGGACAUAAGAAUUAGAGGCAAAGAAAUGUGGGCUUGGGGGUGUGGAGCCAGUUUGCUCUGCAGGCUCAAGACCAACCAUCCCACACAG
Myotis davidii is the source of this 125-nucleotide non-coding RNA. The record is from Rfam. Lineage: Eukaryota; Metazoa; Chordata; Mammalia; Chiroptera; Vespertilionidae.